GAGAAGACGCAGCGAAAUGCGAUACGUAAUGUGAAUUGCAAAUUCAGUGAAUCAUCGAGUCUUUGAACGCACAUUGCGCCCCCUGGUAUUCCGGGGGGCAUGCCUGUCCGAGCGUCAUUGCUGCCCUCAAGCACGGCUUGUGUGUUGGGCCCCGUCCUCCGAUCCCGGGGGACGGGCCCGAAAGGCAGCGGCGGCACCGCGUCCGGUCCUCGAGCGUAUGGGGCUUUGUCACCCGCUCUGUAGGCCCGGCCGGCGCUUGCCGAUCAACCCAAAUUUUUAUCCAGGUUGACCUCGGAUCAGGUAGGGAUACCCGCUGAACUUAAGCAUAUCAAUAAGCGGAGGA
RNAcentral lists this unclassified non-coding RNA (343 nucleotides) under soil metagenome. RNAcentral describes it as "partial contains 5.8S ribosomal RNA, internal transcribed spacer 2, and large subunit ribosomal RNA". The stretch from base 4 to 117 matches the Rfam family "5.8S ribosomal RNA", at positions 40 to 154 of the family's 154-position model. The record is from RNAcentral.